RNAcentral lists this ribosomal RNA (340 nucleotides) under uncultured Pseudomonas sp. Its description in RNAcentral is "bacterial SSU rRNA". It matches the Rfam family "Bacterial small subunit ribosomal RNA", at positions 1045 to 1382 of the family's 1533-position model. The record is from RNAcentral. Lineage: Bacteria; Pseudomonadati; Pseudomonadota; Gammaproteobacteria; Pseudomonadales; Pseudomonadaceae.
AUGGCGUGUCGUCAGCUCGUGUCGUGAGGAUGUUGGGUUAAGUCCCGUAACGAGCGCAACCCUCGUCCUUAGUUACCAGCACGUUAUGGUGGGCACUCUAAGGAGACUGCCGGUGACAAACCGGAGGAAGGUGGGGAUGACGUCAAGUCAUCAUGGCCCUUACGGCCUGGGCUACACACGUGCUACAAUGGUCGGUACAAAGGGUUGCCAAGCCGCGAGGUGGAGCUAAUCCCAUAAAACCGAUCGUAGUCCGGAUCGCAGUCUGCAACUCGACUGCGUGAAGUCGGAAUCGCUAGUAAUCGUGAAUCAGAAUGUCACGGUGAAUACGUUCCCGGGCCUU